Molecule: long non-coding RNA, 760 nt
Filed under: Mytilus galloprovincialis (Mediterranean mussel)
Lineage: Eukaryota; Metazoa; Mollusca; Bivalvia; Mytilida; Mytilidae
Source: RNAcentral
GUUUAUUUCCAGAUUACCUAAGAUCAACCCCAGAUUUGGUUGGAUUCGUGUUGCCUAGUCUUAAGUUUUCUAUGUUGUGUUAUGUGUACUGUUAUUUGUCUGUUUGUCUUUUUUUUCAUUUUUAGCCAUGGCGUUGUUGGUUUAUUUUCGAUAUAUGAGUUUGACUGUCCCUCUGGUAUAUUUCGCCCCUCUUUUAAAGUAAUUAAUGUAAUCUGUACAGAUGAAGCUGUAGAAGUCGUCUUCCUAAAAGAAGCUAUGCACACUUUUAAAAACGUUUUUAAGUUAACAAUUCAUGCACAAUAUUGAUCGCCUGAUGCAAAUAGUCUAGCUUGAUUUAAAAGACUUUGCUUCACUCGAGAGUAUUUGAAUUUGAAUCUAAAGAAAAGGAAGGCAGGCACCAGUAAAUAGAUGCGGUUAACUUUCAUCAGUUAAGUCACAAAAUUUCAUGUAUCCACUACAGAACAAAUAACAUUGAUGUAUAGAUACAUGUGACAUUUUUUUCUCCAGGCACUACAGCUUCCUCCUCUGAUAGGCACUUCCCACCAUGAAAAGUACACUAGUGCCGAAACUGGCGUUAAAAACCAACCGAUUAAUCAAUCAAUCAAUGUGGACACCUAUUCGACACAGCAAGACUAAUUCAAUACUGAUUAUGUUUUGUUUCUUGGUUAGAAGACAAAGUUUACACAACUUUAUACUCCUAAAGAUUAUACUUUUUAUUACUUAUAUCCUCGAUAAAGUACACCGAGAAAAUACAACAAAC